GCCCUCGAUCACGUCUCCCUCCCUGACUCCCGAUCUCUCCCCGACCCCUCGCCCCCGAUCCUAUCUCUCUCCCGCCGCCGGCCGCCCCGACGCAUGACACGUCACGAUCCGCCCGCAGAGAGAGCUAGAGAGAGAGAGAGAGAGAGAGAGAGGAGUUGGAGGAGGAUAAGGAGGAGAGCAGCGGCGGUGCUGGGGCCCUUUCUCCUGCAGAGAGAGAGAGAGGGGGAAGGGAGGGAGGAGGAGCAGGAGCGCAGUGGCUGUGUUGGUGGCCCUUCGCCCGCAUAGAGAGGGACGGAGGGAGGGAGGGAGGAGGAGCGCAGCGGCGGUGCUGGCUUAUCCCGUGCCACUGGAUCCAGAUCCUCAGGAAAAGCGGACGCGGCCAUCGUCGUUGUAUCUGGAUCUUGUCCUCUGCCCUCCUCAAUUUCCCCGGCAAGACGGAGGUCGGUAGGGAUGACAUGUAAAGGGACUUCGCUGGCAGGCUCCGCCUUGCACCCUCUACCUACCCAGCAGCCUAGCUUCCCCACCAUUAUGGGCAGAGCCUCCUCCGAUGGACACCGAGUGGGGAUGAGGUGAGGCCAAGGAAGAACACAUCGGGAUGGACGAAGAGACAUGAAGGAUUGUUUGGCUGUUUGUGGCAGCCGUCGCCAGCUGGUUGAUUCUCCUCGCAGCUGGUGUCCAUCGAGGUCGUUGACUCCUUCAUCCGCCUUUGUUGCUCCCGCGGGUCCGAUCGACCUCACAACAUGUAUCAUAUUUCAGUUUAGAUACAUAACUACAUAAGGUACUUCGUGAACAUUGGUCCACCUUUAUUUUUAUGCUAAAUUGUUUUGGAUCACAUAAUGCACACCAUGAGCACUCAGGCGAACUUAUUGUGUGCCAUCUUCACCUAUUUGUUGUUGUUUCCAUACUGACCAUGCAUGCCAGAUUCCCCAUCCACAAAGUUUUAGUUUGAUUGUGCAAUUAAAUGUGUUUGAUCUUGGAUGGCAUUUCUAUAUACUUCAUAAUGUUUAGUAGUCCCUCCGUAAACUAAUAUAAGAGCAUUUAGAACACUAAAAUAGUGAUCUAAAUGCUCUUAUAUUAGUUUACAGAGGAAGUAAGUUUGAAUAAUAUAGAACCCGAUCACAUCUAAUUUGUCUUAGCAUGUUGCUUUACUCAUAAGAUCAUCUCUCCUUCCUAAUAAGCUAAUGGUGAAUAGGGACAAAACUUUUUCUGAAAUAAAUAAAGCAUUAUUCAGGGUAGAGAAUGUAUGGAGGUGCAUCCUUUUGAGUUGGAGACUAUUUACAAUUCACCCACUUGCAGCUAUGCCCUUGACUUAGCAGUGAAAAGGGUUUGAUGCCCACGCCAGCAGAGGUGGUUGCGGCAGUGUGCCUGAGUAUACGCAUCACCAUCUUGGUGGAUGAGAAGCAGGCAUACACAGCGGUAGCGCCGCUCGUGAAUUUUUGUGAAAGGGGACAAGAAAUUUGGUGCUUGGAUGACAUUUCUAUGUCGUUCAUAAUGUUUAGUACGUUCAAAUAAUAUGGAAUCUGUUCACAUCUAAUUUGUCGUAGCAUGUUUAUUUACUCAUAAGAUUAUCUCUCCUUCUGAAAGAGCAAAUGGUGAAUAGGGAGACUCUUAUGUGAAAUUAAUCAUUAUUCAAGGUAGAUAAUGUACAGAGUGUAUGGAGGUGCAUCCUUUUGAGUUGGAGACUAUUUAUAAUUCACCCACUUGAAGCUAUGCCCUUGACCUAGCAGUGAAAAGGGUUUGAUGCCCACGCCAGUAGAGGUGGUUGCGGCGGUGUGCCUGAGUGUACGCAUCACCAUCUUGGUGGAUAAGAAGCAGGCGUACACAACGGUAGCGCAGCUCGUGAAUUUUUGUGAAAGGGGACAAGAAAUUUGGUGCUUGGAUGACAUUUCUAUAUCGUUCAUAAUGUUUAGUAAGUUCGAAUAAUAUGGAAUCUGUUCACAUCUAAUUUGUCGUAGCAUGUUUAUUUACUCAUAAGAUUAUCUCUCCUUCUGAAAGAGAAAAUGGUGAAUAGGGAGACUCUUAUUUGAAAUUAAUCAUUAUUCAAGGUAGAUAAUGUAUAGAGGUGCAUCCUUUGAGUUGGAGAAUCUAUAAUACCUAAAUAGUUCAUCCCCACUAACAUAUUUCUCUUGACAUGCAGCCUAUACACAUCAUCAAGUAGGUCCACAUACACAAUAAUUUUCUCCUCUAAAUAAUCUUCCUAUAAUUAUUUCUACUACUAUGUUGCAUGGCACGUAGCCACGUACUCUGGUGGAAGAUGAAACGAGGAGGCCCACCGUCUCUCACCUGGACCCUCUUCCCUGGGUAUCGCUAAGUUUCGCCCCGAAAAAAGGUGUACUGCUAAGUUUCAAUCAAUAUUGCGCCACACCAUUUUAAUUACUAGGAAUUGGUUCAUCUUCCUUCUAAUAACCGAAGAGUUCCGACGAGUCGCUGGAGACGCAUGGUUUUAUCCUCAUCUCCCCGUCCCCACCACAUGAAAGAUGGGCAGUAGGUACGGGAUGCGCUGCCCAACUUGCUGGCGGACGACCCAGUGCCCUCCUCUAGCUCUAGCAGCUCUGGCAUCAGGCUUCCCCGGUGGCCGAGCUUUUGGGUGCGCAAGCAGGACUGCGAUCAGCCGUCGACGGUCAGGCUGUCGUUCUACUGGUUGUAGCAGCACAUCUCCGCGUCCUACUUCCGCAACAUGAACGACUCGCUAUAGCUGUCGUUGGUCGACAGGGGAGGACGGUCGCCGUGGACUUCUCCAACUAUCCCUGAAUGGAUCGGAUAAGUUGAAUCGUCGAUCGCCCUAUACCCCGUACGUUGCUCCUACCCUCCAGGUCGCCCCCGCUAAUCACGUCCAAAUCUCGGUGCUUCUUUCCCGCUACCCGCACGUGAUACUCUUGAUUGCUGACUUGCUGUUACCACUUACCACCCCGGUUAGGCUUCCUCACACGAAUGCUCAAAGUAUUUUCUAUACUACUUAUGUCAGAUGUGAACUCACAAGUACUUUAAUUUGGUAUAUGUUUCUUAUCCAAUGCCAGUCUAGCAGGGAUCGGGCAGGAAGGAUGCCCAGGCAAACUAUUGUUCAGAGACGGAUCUGCAGGGUUCAGGAGCAGGUGUGUUAUAGGCCAAUCGAUGGUUAUCUCCAGCGACAGGGGCAAUUAAAUUAAACACUGACGCGUCGUAUAUUGCCGCGAGUGGCCAGUGCGUUUCCUGUCAAAGGAACUCCAACAUGAGGCUGUUAAUCUCUCUGUCUGUUUCCCGAUGAUCCAUGAUAUUAAAGAGGUGAUGAGUUCUUUUGCUUCGGUUCAGUUUAAAAGGAACAAGAACAAGAUGGUGCAUGAACUUGCUGCUCUUACCAGAUCGAAGGAGGAUUUGUUCAUGGUCGCUGGAGAGAGACAUACUGGAUCUUCAUGUAACCCCAGUCAAUGAGUAAUGUAUUUACUCUUUUCCUAAAAAAGUAGUUUUAUUUGCUGUGCUUCUUGAUGUGAACUCACAGUUUCAAUGAACAGGAACCAAAAAUUCAGUGAGCAUAAACAGUAUAUUCAAGUGGAGCAUUAGGUUCUUCCCCUCUACAAUUUAUUUUUUUGAAAUAGCUCUACGAUUUUCUUGAUGAUUUGCUAGAUACCCCUGAUUGGUUCAAUCCAUUAUGUCUUGAGAAAACAAACUGGUUUGGCAUGGUUGUUCUUGCUAGGGUAAUUACUGUUGAUGUUUUAUGCCUUUAUGUUUCUCUGAUACUUGCCUUGAUUUUAACCCUUCUGCAUAACUCUGCAGCUGACUGAACUUGAAAUGCCACUUUUAUCCAAAGCACAUCCUCCUUUCUUUCAGUGCAGGAAGCAACAGGGAGAAGCUACAUGCAUAUGUAUGAUUGUAACCAUGUCUCUUAAUGUACGACAAAGCUUUAUGAUCUAAAAAAUCCUAUAGGGGAUACUUUUCAAAAGUUCCAAAUAUUCCCCAGGAUAUUGUGACGUCCCUCCAAUGCUAGCAGAACAUCAACAGUUUCUGAUGAAAUACAGAGGUAAUAUUGCACUCCCACAUUAUCCAAUUUCAGGUUUAAUAUAAUGCUCUCACCUCUCUUGGUUUGAUGGGAAAAUAAGCAGUAGUAGCAGCGGCUACUUACAUACCUCGCUAUAGCCGGCACGUAGGCCAGAUGCCCACGCACUGAGUACGUAGGCCAAUGCCAAUUAGGGGCGAACAUUACUCACUGUCAAGGUACUAGAAUGGUCAUUCAUUUGUUUGUUUCCUUUAUACAUACCUCGCUAUAGCCGGCACGCAGGCCAGAUGCCCACGCACUGAGUACGUAGGCCAAUGCCAAUUAGGGACGAGGAUCAACUACAUUACUCACUGUCAAGGUAUUAGAAUGGUCAUUCAUUUGUUUGUUUCCUUUAUUUGUUCAAAUCUCUUAGCAAUGCAGGUAUGACUGAUUUACAUCAAGAGCUGCACAUAAUACAAAAUAAGUAGGAGUAUCUCAAAAUGGCAAUACGUACAUAACGUUUCAUACAGUCUCUGUUUCGGAAUCCCUACUAUGUGUUUCAUUCAUACUUAUGUGCGUAAAAUGAGAUAGCUUGAGUCGUAUCACUAUAUUUAGUGAAAAAGUAGACCGCAUAAUUCAGAUUUUGUUAUCUUUGUAAUUAUAUAGCAAUUAUAAUGCACAUUGCAAAAAAAAACCCACAAGUUCAUAUAUCAACACCGCAAACAAAAUAAUUUGAUUUGUGUAUUAUCAUGUGCAUAGGACCAAAAUUCGCCGCAGCAAGGCGCGGGGUAACAUUUAGACCCCUCAUGUCUAUAAUACCUAAAUAGUUGAUCCUCACUAAAUCUAAUGCUCUCAACAUGCAACCCUCCACAUUAUCAAAUGUAUCACGUCAUCAUCCAAAUAAAACUAUUUUGUAGCACAUGCAUUCUCCAAUUUAAUUGUUCCAUCUCCAAUGGUCUAGCAUACAUGCAUACUCUUUGUUCAAACACAAUUACUUCAAAAAAUAAUAGCUUUUGAAUUAGAUUAUUUUACUCAUACAAAAUUUAUCCAAAUUUAAUCUUUAAAUCCCGCAGCAACGCGCGGGGAAAUCACCUAGUAUUUACAAUUUACCAGCUUGCAGCUAUGGAAAUGACCUAGCAAUGAAAAGUGCUUGAUGCCCUCGCUAGCGGAGGUGGUUGCGAUGGCGAGCUCGAGUGUACGCAUCACCAUCCUAGUGGGUGAGAAGCAGGCAUACAACCACAGGAGGAUAAUUUACUCAGGACAAGCAUCAGUUAUGUAAAUUGUUCAUCAACAUAGUUUUGCAAGUCAUUGAAUCAUGUUCCGUCACCUCUGCUUACUGUCACUCUUAAGGCAAGAGGACCUUUUCUAAAUGUACUCCAGUAUUGUUGAGCCUCUUCUAUUUUUUACUUUUGGCAUGAACAAGGAUUCAUAUUGAAUACUGUUACAUAAGUACAUGUUUGUAGUUAGCGUGGAGCCAUAGACUCACUUGCCAUCUGCGCUUGCUGUUUCAUAUGGUUUUAUCAAUAGUAAAGCUUUUGGAAUUACAA
This is a long non-coding RNA of Triticum dicoccoides, 5496 nucleotides long. RefSeq lists it as uncharacterized. Lineage: Eukaryota; Viridiplantae; Streptophyta; Magnoliopsida; Poales; Poaceae. The record is from RefSeq and is a predicted model, not a curated record. The transcript is spliced from 2 exons.